CUUGAGACCGGCGCACGGGUGCGUAACGCGUAUGCAACCUACCUAUUGCAGGGGAAUAGCCCAGGGAAACUUGGAUUAAUGCCCCAUAGUCCAUAUUGAGAGCAUUUGAUAUAUGGUAAAGAUUUAUCGGCAAUAGAUGGGCAUGCGUCCCAUUAGCUAGUUGGUGUGGUAACGGCACACCAAGGCUACGAUGGGUAGGGGCCCUGAGAGGGGGAUCCCCCACACUGGUACUGAGACACGGACCAGACUCC
Molecule: ribosomal RNA, 251 nt
Filed under: uncultured bacterium
Lineage: Bacteria
Description: partial 16S ribosomal RNA
Rfam family: Bacterial small subunit ribosomal RNA
Source: RNAcentral